This 315-nucleotide ribosomal RNA is filed under the name Candidatus Moranbacteria bacterium CG17_big_fil_post_rev_8_21_14_2_50_44_12. Its description in RNAcentral is "bacterial LSU rRNA". It matches the Rfam family "Bacterial large subunit ribosomal RNA", at positions 2524 to 2853 of the family's 2925-position model. Lineage: Bacteria; Candidatus Moraniibacteriota. The record is from RNAcentral.
CCUCGAUGUCGGCUCAUCGCAUCCUGGGGCUGGAGAAGGUCCCAAGGGUUUGGCUGUUCGCCAAUUAAAGCGGUACGCGAGCUGGGUUCAAACCGUCGUGAGACAGGUUGGUCUCUAUCUGCCGUAGGCGUUGUUGCUUGAGAGGAGUCUUUCCUAGUACGAGAGGACCGGAAAGAACGAACCUCUGGUGUACCAGUUGUUCCUGCCAAGGGCACUGCUGGGUAGCUAUGUUCGGAAGGGAUAAUCGCUGAAAGCAUCUAAGCGAGAAGCCCACCUCAAGAUUAGGCAAUAUGGCUUCCUGGAAGAUGACCAGGU